RNAcentral lists this long non-coding RNA (333 nucleotides) under Anas platyrhynchos platyrhynchos (common mallard). RNAcentral describes it as "lncRNA (ENSAPLG00000020605.1)". Lineage: Eukaryota; Metazoa; Chordata; Aves; Anseriformes; Anatidae. The record is from RNAcentral.
AUGAGCCGCAGUUCUAAUGUAGCCUGCAUGAUAAACAGUGCUGUAAUAACAGCUGACCUCUGCCAUAACUUGCUUUCUUCUCCUCUUAGAUCCUGCUCGUGGGCAGUGAGAGAAAGCAUAAUUUCUGAUUGUGCUUGUACCUUUGAUGAAAGGAAUCCAACUGGAUUUAUGGAAACAAAAGGGCAGAAAAUCCAACACAACUGCUAUGGACUGGACCUGAAGUUUCUGAGACCUCAGUGUAACAUGACAGAAUUACAGUACAGCUUUUCAGGCUACAUUUAUACUGGAAGAAAUAUUCCAUGUUUAUUCGGGAAUGGUCCACAAUGGGUUUGA